GGAAGGUUGGCCGAGCGGCAAGGCACUCGGAUGCUACCCGAGAGUACGGCAUGGUCCGUCGCAGGUUCGACCCCUGCACCUUCCU
RNAcentral lists this transfer RNA (85 nucleotides) under Sulfidibacter corallicola. It matches the Rfam family "tRNA". From Rfam's summary of the family: Transfer RNA (tRNA) molecules are approximately 80 nucleotides in length. Their secondary structure includes four short double-helical elements and three loops (D, anti-codon, and T loops). Further hydrogen bonds mediate the characteristic L-shaped molecular structure. tRNAs have two regions of fundamental functional importance: the anti-codon, which is responsible for specific mRNA codon recognition, and the 3' end, to which the tRNAs corresponding amino acid is attached (by aminoacyl-tRNA synthetases). tRNAs cope with the degeneracy of the genetic code in two manners: having more than one tRNA (with a specific anti-codon) for a particular amino acid; and 'wobble' base-pairing, i.e. permitting non-standard base-pairing at the 3rd anti-codon position. The record is from Rfam by way of RNAcentral. Lineage: Bacteria; Pseudomonadati; Acidobacteriota; Holophagae; Acanthopleuribacterales; Acanthopleuribacteraceae.